RNAcentral lists this ribosomal RNA (114 nucleotides) under Pteropus alecto (black flying fox). Lineage: Eukaryota; Metazoa; Chordata; Mammalia; Chiroptera; Pteropodidae. The record is from RNAcentral.
GUCUGCGGCCAUGCCCCCCUGACCAAGCCCGAUGUCUGAUCUUGGAAGCUAAGCAGGAUCGAGCCUGGUUAGUACUUGGAAGGGAGACCACUAGAAGACCAGGUGCUGCAGCUG